UUAAGCGACUAAGCGUACACGGUGGAUGCCCUGGCAGUCAGAGGCGAUGAAGGACGUGCUAAUCUGCGAUAAGCGUCGGUAAGGUGAUAUGAACCGUUAUAACCGGCGAUUUCCGAAUGGGGAAACCCAGUGUGUUUCGACACACUAUCAUUAACUGAAUCCAUAGGUUAAUGAGGCGAACCGGGGGAACUGAAACAUCUAAGUACCCCGAGGAAAAGAAAUCAACCGAGAUUCCCCCAGUAGCGGCGAGCGAACGGGGAGCAGCCCAGAGCCUGAAUCAGUGUGUGUGUUAGUGGAAGCGUCUGGAAAGGCGCGCGAUACAGGGUGACAGCCCCGUACACAAAAAUGCACAUGCUGUGAGCUCGAUGAGUAGGGCGGGACACGUGGUAUCCUGUCUGAAUAUGGGGGGACCAUCCUCCAAGGCUAAAUACUCCUGACUGACCGAUAGUGAACCAGUACCGUGAGGGAAAGGCGAAAAGAACCCCGGCGAGGGGAGUGAAAAAGAACCUGAAACCGUGUACGUACAAGCAGUGGGAGCCUCUUUUAUGGGGUGACUGCGUACCUUUUGUAUAAUGGGUCAGCGACUUAUAUUCUGUAGCAAGGUUAACCGAAUAGGGGAGCCGAAGGGAAACCGAGUCUUAACUGGGCGUUAAGUUGCAGGGUAUAGACCCGAAACCCGGUGAUCUAGCCAUGGGCAGGUUGAAGGUUGGGUAACACUAACUGGUAGGACCGAACCGACUAAUGUUGAAAAAUUAGCGGAUGACUUGUGGCUGGGGGUGAAAGGCCAAUCAAACCGGGAGAUAGCUGGUUCUCCCCGAAAGCUAUUUAGGUAGCGCCUCGUGAAUUCAUCUCCGGGGGUAGAGCACUGUUUCGGCAAGGGGUCAUCCCGACUUACCAACCCGAUGCAAACUGCGAAUACCGGAGAAUGUUAUCACGGGAGACACACGGCGGGUGCUAACGUCCGUCGUGAAGAGGGAACCAACCCAGACCGCCAGCUAAGGUCCCAAAGUCAUGGUUAAGUGGGAAACGAUGUGGGAAGGCCCAGACAGCCAGGAUGUUGGCUUAGAAGCAGCCAUCAUUUAAAGAAAGCGUAAUAGCUCACUGGUCGAGUCGGCCUGCGCGGAAGAUGUAACGGGGCUAAACCAUGCACCGAAGCUGCGGCAGCGACGCUUAUGCGUUGUUGGGUAGGGGAGCGUUCUGUAAGCCUGUGAAGGUGUGCUGUGAGGCAUGCUGGAGGUAUCAGAAGUGCGAAUGCUGACAUAAGUAACGAUAAAGCGGGUGAAAAGCCCGCUCGCCGGAAGACCAAGGGUUCCUGUCCAACGUUAAUCGGGGCAGGGUGAGUCGACCCCUAAGGCGAGGCCGAAAGGCGUAGUCGAUGGGAAACAGGUUAAUAUUCCUGUACUUGGUGUUACUGCGAAGGGGGGACGGAGAAGGCUAUGUUGGCCGGGCGACGGUUGUCCCGGCUUAAGCGUGUAGGCUGGUUUUCCAGGCAAAUCCGGAAAAUCAAGGCUGAGGCGUGAUGACGAGGCACUACGGUGCUGAAAGCAACAAAAUGCCCUGCUUCCAGGAAAAGCCUCUAAGCAUCAGGUAACAUCAAAUCGUACCCCAAACCGACACAGGUGGUCAGGUAGAGAAUACCAAGGCGCUUGAGAGAACUCGGGUGAAGGAACUAGGCAAAAUGGUGCCGUAACUUCGGGAGAAGGCACGCUGAUAUGUAGGUGAAGCGACUUGCUCGUGGAGCUGAAAUCAGUCGAAGAUACCAGCUGGCUGCAACUGUUUAUUAAAAACACAGCACUGUGCAAACACGAAAGUGGACGUAUACGGUGUGACGCCUGCCCGGUGCCGGAAGGUUAAUUGAUGGGGUCAGCGCAAGCGAAGCUCUUGAUCGAAGCCCCGGUAAACGGCGGCCGUAACUAUAACGGUCCUAAGGUAGCGAAAUUCCUUGUCGGGUAAGUUCCGACCUGCACGAAUGGCGUAAUGAUGGCCAGGCUGUCUCCCACCCGAGACUCAGUGAAAUUGAACCUCGCUGUGAAGAUGCAGUGUACCCGCGGCAAGACGGAAAGACCCCGUGAACCUUUACUAUAGCUUGACACUGAACAUUGAGCCUUGAUGUGUAGGAUAGGUGGGAGGCUUUGAAGUGUGGACGCCAGUCUGCAUGGAGCCGACCUUGAAAUACCACCCUUUAAUGUUUGAUGUUCUAACGUUGACCCGUAAUCCGGGUUGCGGACAGUGUCUGGUGGGUAGUUUGACUGGGGCGGUCUCCUCCUAAAGAGUAACGGAGGAGCACGAAGGUUGGCUAAUCCUGGUCGGACAUCAGGAGGUUAGUGCAAUGGCAUAAGCCAGCUUGACUGCGAGCGUGACGGCGCGAGCAGGUGCGAAAGCAGGUCAUAGUGAUCCGGUGGUUCUGAAUGGAAGGGCCAUCGCUCAACGGAUAAAAGGUACUCCGGGGAUAACAGGCUGAUACCGCCCAAGAGUUCAUAUCGACGGCGGUGUUUGGCACCUCGAUGUCGGCUCAUCACAUCCUGGGGCUGAAGUAGGUCCCAAGGGUAUGGCUGUUCGCCAUUUAAAGUGGUACGCGAGCUGGGUUUAGAACGUCGUGAGACAGUUCGGUCCCUAUCUGCCGUGGGCGCUGGAGAACUGAGGGGGGCUGCUCCUAGUACGAGAGGACCGGAGUGGACGCAUCACUGGUGUUCGGGUUGUCAUGCCAAUGGCACUGCCCGGUAGCUAAAUGCGGAAGAGAUAAGUGCUGAAAGCAUCUAAGCACGAAACUUGCCCCGAGAUGAGUUCUCCCUGACUCCUUGAGAGUCCUGAAGGAACGUUGAAGACGACGACGUUGAUAGGCCGGGUGUGUAAGCGCAGCGAUGCGUUGAGCUAACCGGUACUAAUGAACCGUGAGGCUUAACCUU
This 2906-nucleotide ribosomal RNA is filed under the name Escherichia coli BCE007_MS-11. RNAcentral describes it as "bacterial LSU rRNA". It matches the Rfam family "Bacterial large subunit ribosomal RNA". The record is from RNAcentral. Lineage: Bacteria; Pseudomonadati; Pseudomonadota; Gammaproteobacteria; Enterobacterales; Enterobacteriaceae.